AUGCCGGUUUGUUACGGCGGCGGUGGUGACAACUCAACCGAGGGUGUCCUGGCAAGCCGAAGUGCAGCACUGUCUCGAGAUGAUGCUGUAGUGGAGACUGCUGAGGAAGCAGAGGAGCCCGCGGAGGCUGAUGUCAAUGAGCUGUGCCGGUACAUGUUCUCCAAGAUGGCCAAGUACCUGACUGGGGAACUGUCAGCCACCAGCGAAGAUUAUAAGCUCGUGGAAAAUAUGAAUAAGCUAACCAGCUUGAACUAUCUUGAAAUGAAAAAUAUUGCUAUAAAUAUUAGUAGAAACUUAAAGGACUUAAACCACAAGUAUGCCGGAUUGCAGCCUUAUCGGGAUCAGAUCAAUUUAAUUGAGGAGCAGGUAGCAGGCCUUGAACAAGCAGCUUACAGGUUGGAUGCAUUGUCAAAAAAAACUGGAAGCCAAGUACAAGAAGCUGGAGAAGCGAUGGAAACCCUAUCUCUAUGGGACAGAGUCCAUUUUUUAA
Chrysochloris asiatica (Cape golden mole) is the source of this 490-nucleotide RNA transcript. It is a transcript of the gene named biogenesis of lysosome-related organelles complex 1 subunit 2-like, with no coding region annotated. NCBI's taxonomy places the organism in Eukaryota, Metazoa, Chordata, Mammalia, Afrosoricida, Chrysochloridae. The transcript has a single exon. The record is from RefSeq and is a predicted model, not a curated record.